Molecule: ribosomal RNA, 534 nt
Filed under: uncultured bacterium
Lineage: Bacteria
Description: partial 16S ribosomal RNA
Rfam family: Bacterial small subunit ribosomal RNA
Source: RNAcentral
UGGGGGAAUUUUUGGACAAUGGGCGAAAAGCCCUGAUCCCAGCCAUGCCGCGUGUGUGAAGAAGGCCUUCGGGUUGUAAAGCACUUUUCAGCGAGGAGGAAGGUGGUGAACUUAAUACGUUCAUCAAUUGACGUUACUCGCAGAAGAAGCACCGGCUAACUCCGUGCCAGCAGCCGCGGUAAUACGGAGGGUGCAAGCGUUAAUCGGAAUUACUGGGCGUAAAGCGCACGCAGGCGGUUUGUUAAGUCAGAUGUGAAAUCCCCGGGCUCAACCUGGGAACUGCAUUUGAAAACUGGCAAGCUAGAGUCUCGUAGAGGGGGGUAGAAUUCCAGGUGUAGCGGUGAAAUGCGUAGAGAUCUGGAGGAAUACCGGUGGCGAAGGCGGCCCCCCUGGACGAAGACUGACGCUCAGGUGCGAAAAGCGUGGGGAGCAAACAGGUUAGAUACCCUGGUAGUCAGCGCUGUAAAACGAUGUCGAUUUUGGAGGUUGUGCCCUUGAGGCGUGGCUUCCGGAGCUAACGCGUUAAAUCGACCG